UUAAGCAUAUCAAUAAGCGGAGGAAAAGAAACCAACAGGGAUUGCCCUAGUAACGGCGAGUGAAGCGGCAACAGCUCAAAUUUGAAAUCUGGCGUCUUCGGCGUCCGAGUUGUAAUUUGCAGAGGGCGCUUUGGCAUUGGCAGCGGUCCAAGUUCCUUGGAACAGGACGUCACAGAGGGUGAGAAUCCCGUACGUGGUCGCUAGCCUUUACCGUGUAAAGCCCCUUCGACGAGUCGAGUUGUUUGGGAAUGCAGCUCUAAAUGGGAGGUAAAUUUCUUCUAAAGCUAAAUACUGGCCAGAGACCGAUAGCGCACAAGUAGAGUGAUCGAAAGAUGAAAAGCACUUUGGAAAGAGAGUUAAAAAGCACGUGAAAUUGUUGAAAGGGAAGCGCUUGCAGCCAGACUUGCCUGUAGUUGCUCAUCCGGGUUUCUACCCGGUGCACUCUUCUAUAGGCAGGCCAGCAUCAGUUUGGGCGGUUGGAUAAAGGUCUCUGUCAUGUACCUCUCUUCGGGGAGAACUUAUAGGGGAGACGACAUGCAACCAGCCUGGACUGAGGUCCGCGCAUCUGCUAGGAUGCUGGCGUAAUGGCUGUAAGCGGCCCGUCUUGAAACACGGACCAAGGAGUCUAACAUCUAUGCGAGUGUUUGGGUGUCAAGCCCGAGCGCGUAAUGAAAGUGAACGGAGGUGGGAACCUUUCGGGGUGCACCAUCGACCGAUCCUGAUGUCUUCGGAUGGAUUUGAGUAAGAGCAUAGCUGUUGGGACCCGAAAGAUGGUGAACUAUGCUUGAAUAGGGUGAAGCCAGAGGAAACUCUGGUGGAGGCUCGCAGCGGUUCUGACGUGCAAAUCGAUCGUCAAAUUUGGGCAUAGGGGCGAAAGACUAAUCGAACUAUCUAGUAGCUGGUUCCUGCCGAAG
This 914-nucleotide ribosomal RNA is filed under the name Didymellaceae sp. PGP11. RNAcentral describes it as "LSU rRNA". It matches the Rfam family "Eukaryotic large subunit ribosomal RNA", at positions 34 to 966 of the family's 3401-position model. The record is from RNAcentral. Lineage: Eukaryota; Fungi; Ascomycota; Dothideomycetes; Pleosporales; Didymellaceae.